CAGAGUUAUCUAACUCCCAAACCCAUGUGAACCUUACCUAUGUUGCCUCGGCGGGGGAGCCUACCCGGUACCUACCCUGUAGUUACCCGGGAGCGAGCUACCCUGUAGCCCGCUGCUGGCUUGCCCGCCGGUGGACGAGUAAACUCUUGUUUUUUAGUGGAUUAUCUGAGCGUUUAUACUUAAUAAGUUA
This 190-nucleotide unclassified non-coding RNA is filed under the name uncultured Diatrypaceae. RNAcentral describes it as "sequence contains ITS1". Lineage: Eukaryota; Fungi; Ascomycota; Sordariomycetes; Xylariales; Diatrypaceae. The record is from RNAcentral.